Molecule: long non-coding RNA, 304 nt
Organism: Panicum virgatum (switchgrass)
Lineage: Eukaryota; Viridiplantae; Streptophyta; Magnoliopsida; Poales; Poaceae
Exons: 2
Source: RefSeq, a predicted model, not a curated record
GAAGCCCCUAUGACUACUUUUAGGUAACACUUAUCUCUGAAUGGUUGUUAUUUCCCUCCUAAUGGAUCUUUUUUCUCAGGCACAGGUGAUUGUUGAGAAGGCUGAGAAAAGUGAUAUUCCUGACAUCGACAAGAAAAAGUCAGUUCUCAACUUCUCUACUAGAUAUCUGAAAAUUAUUUCUACUUAGGCUGAGAGAAGGCUGAGAGGUGAUUGUAUGGACUCUUUUGUUUAAUCUCGAUGUAUGAGCUCAUAUGGUUGAAUUCUUCUGCUAUAAUUAUAUAUUAUAUAUGUUGUACAAAUGAUG